Molecule: ribosomal RNA, 427 nt
Filed under: uncultured bacterium
Lineage: Bacteria
Description: bacterial SSU rRNA
Rfam family: Bacterial small subunit ribosomal RNA
Source: RNAcentral
AUUGAACGCUGGCGGCAUGCCUUACACAUGCAAGUCGAACGGCAGCACGGGAGCAAUCCUGGUGGCGAGUGGCGAACGGGUGAGUAAUGUAUCGGAACGUACCUUUCAGUGGGGGAUAACGUAGCGAAAGUUACGCUAAUACCGCAUAUUCUGUGAGCAGGAAAGCAGGGGAUCGCAAGACCUUGCGCUGAUUGAGCGGCCGAUAUCAGAUUAGCUAGCUGGUGGGGUAAAGGCCUACCAAGGCGACGAUCUGUAGCGGGUCUGAGAGGAUGAUCCGCCACACUGGGACUGAGACACGGCCCAGACUCCUACGGGAGGCAGCAGUGGGGAAUUUUGGACAAUGGGCGCAAGCCUGAUCCAGCCAUGCCGCGUGCGGGACGAAGGCCUCGGUUGUAACCGGACUUUCAGCCGGAACGAAAUACGCCAA